GUUUGGAAAAGCAGACAAUUCUUUGAUAUUUAGAUAAUAGGAGAAGAACCUCAACUAAAGCCCUAAUAUGGCAGCUCAUCACCUUUUGGAAAGGACUGGAUUCUCAGAGAUUGUGUCUGAACAGCACAAGAGUUGACUGGUUCUAUUAAGUGGUUCUCCCUUCCAACUAUCUACAAAACCCUGCCAGCCUCAUGCUGCUGUUCCUUUAUUUCUUUAUGAAAACCUGUCCUCAAGACUCUCCAUUGAUAGAAACUCGGAGUGUUCUCCUUUCCAAGGGCAUUUUUCGUUUAAGGGCUGUCAAAACUCUAAGCAAAAGUGCCUCCAGGCAUUCAUGUGAACAACUCCUGCAUGUAUGAAACAUAUUUUUCAUUUCCAUCUAUCAAAAUCCUCUUCCUUCUUCAAGGCCAGGGUUUCCAAGACUAAAGAAUGCAUCAGUGAUUGUCCAGCUGCUCCAUUCUGUGAGAUUGCUCUUGAGAAAGCAGAGAUUAUAUUUUGCUCAAAUCCUGUUGUGUAUGAGGGCUGGGUAUAUAACAGACCACAGGGUCAUAAGAUCAUAGACAGAGGACUCAGGGGGUCCUAGAAAUUGCACAGCUCAAGCCCCUCAUCUUGUAGGAGAAGGAACUAAAUCCAGAGGAAUUCUUCUUCACCCAAAGUCACACAGCUUUCCAUCUGACAAGAGGAGGGCAGCGGUGUCUCUGUGGAAUUGUCGGAGUGCUACGCAGGCCAGCCAAGCAGGGGCAAAAGAGACUUUGUAAUGGAGCUUAGCACUUCUAGUCCUCGGCCCCCAUCUCUCCAAACACCUGUGGGUGCAGCCACCCAAGGGAGGUAUUCUCUCUCUUUUCUUUCCAUUGAUGCCUUUGGGGAUGCCGCUGCCAAGUCGCUGCCUCCAGGAGGUCCCAUCAUCAAGUCCUUCCCCUGCUCUCUUCAAUUCAAUUGAACAAACAUUUAAGUGCUUGAUAUAUGUGAAGCAUUGUGCUACAUUCUGAGAGGGCAAAGCAACCUCCCCUCACAAAACAGCAACUAGCCUUUGUCCUUACAAAACUUUUAUUUUACUGGGGGGGGGGGAAGUGGAGAACAAUAUGUAAACGGAUAAAUAAAUGCAAGAUAAUUUGAAGGAGAUAGCUCUAAGAAAGUCAGUGAAUUGGAGGAAGAAAAGCUUCCUGGAUGAAGAAGCUGAGUCUUGAAGGAAAAUGAGGAUUUUUAAGAGGUGAGAAGGGAAUGCACUUUUAGGCACGGGGGUAUAGGGGUAGGAGGUGGUAAUAGCCUAUUCAGGGAAUAGCUUGAAGACUAAUUUGGGUGGAAUAAAGAGGGUCCAUGGAGAUCAAUAUGAAACCAGUCUAGAAGGGAAAAUUAAAGCCAGAUUGUCAAAGGCUUUAAAUACUAGGCUGAUGAAUGUGUAUUUAUUCUAAUGGCAAUAGGGGAGAUUUUUGAGCUUGGGAGUAACCUCAUAAGCCCUGUACCUUAGUAAUGUUAUUUUGGUAGUUGUACAGAGAAGAAGUUAGAGAGGGGAAGAGACUAGAAUCAUGGAGAGCAAUUAUGAGCCUGUUACAGUAGUUUACUUAUGUGAUUAUCUAUGAUAAUCACUUUCAGUAUCAAAUGAGAUAAUAUUUGUAAAACACUUAGCACAAUGCUUGAUAUGUAAGAGGCAUUUAAUAAAUGUUUACUUCUUAGUCCCCAUAGUAGUGGCUAUGUUAAGGAGAGACAGGGGUGAUAGAAGAAAUAUUGUGGAAGUAGAAUCAGUAGGAUUUAGCAGCUGGUGAUGAGGGAAAAUGAAGAGUUGAAAAUGACAUCAAGGUUAAGAAACUGGGUGUCUGAAAGGCUAGUGGAGCCUUCAAGAGAACUGGGGAUAUACGGAAGAGGGACAGGAUUAAGGGUGAAGACAGUUCAGUUUAGUACAAGGUAAGGUUGAGAUAUCAAAGGCACAUCCAGGUGGAGCUAGCCAUCAAGCAGUUGACAACAAGGGAUUAAAAUUCAGAGUUGAGAUUAUUAUUAGUUACAAAAAUUUGAUAGUUUUUACUCUUAUGAAAAGUAUGAGAUCAUCAAUAGAGCAUAAUUAGGAAAGAGAAGAGGGCUCAUCACAGAGCCUUGGGGAACAUUUGGGAGCAAGAGAUGAAUGAUGACUCAGUAAAAGGAGACUAAGCAGACAGAUAGGAGAACCAGCACAGAGCAAUGUUGGUGAAGCCAGAGGAAGAGAGAAUAUCCAGAAAGAGGAGAUGGCCAAAAGUCUCAAAGGUCAGUUAAGAUCCUUGGUCAUGUUGUUGAGAAGAGAAGAGUGGUAGAGGUAGAAACAAAGGGUGGAGAAGUGUGGGAAUGAAGGAGGAGAGAUAGUUUGGCUGGGAAAGGGAAAAAAAUAGGAUAGUUACUUAACUGUCCUGGAUCUAUCUCCAACUUCUGACACUAUUCAUUGCCCCUCCUCUUGGACUCUUCCCUAUUUGUUUUUGGUGACCUUGUUCUCUCCUGGAUCUUCUGAGUUCUCUUCAGUCUCCUUCGCUGAAUUAUCUUCCAACUUUUGUCCCUUAGCAUUGGAGUUUCCCAGGCUUCUGCUUUCUCUCCUUUGAUGCCCCAUUAUGCUUUUUCUUUCUGCCUUCUGUUCCUCUCUCUCUUUUCAUCCUCUUUCCUGGGGACUUCAUCUGGUCCCAUGGGUUCAAUGACCAUUUCUGUGACAGGAUUUGAGGGAGAAUGGCAGAAUAAGUGUUGAGGAAGGGGGAUAUUAGGAGACAUGGGAAGGUAGGAGGCUAUUCAUUAAUCUUGUUGAUAAACUAGGACUAGGAAAGGCAGAAGCACUCAUUGAGAAUGUACCAUGUGGCAAGCACUGUGCUAAGCAUUUCACAAGCAUUAUCUUAUUUGAUCCUCAUAACAAUCCUGGGAGCUAGGUAUUGUUAUCUCAGUUUUACAGCUGAGGAUCCUGAGCUAAACAGAGGUUAAGUGACUUGGUUCAUGGUGGUGUAGUUCUGUCUGGGGCCCACAUUUGAACUCAGAUCUUUCUGAUUCCAGGCCUAGUGCUCUAGCCACUGUAUCAUGAAGCUGCCUCCUAUUUGAUGAAAAAAUACUGUCGGGAAAACUGUAAAGCAGUGUUGUAGAAAUUAGGUUUAAACCAACAUCUGAAUCAUGUUCUAUAAUACAUUCUACAUGAUAUGUGACCUUAAUAUUAAAGAUCAUACUAUAAAAAAUGAGAAGAAAAUCAGAUCAUAUAACUCACAGUUAUGGGAUGGAAAAAUGGGAAGCUAUAAGCAGAAGAAUUUCAGAAUUCCAG
Long non-coding RNA from Sarcophilus harrisii (Tasmanian devil), 3253 nucleotides. The record is from Ensembl. Lineage: Eukaryota; Metazoa; Chordata; Mammalia; Dasyuromorphia; Dasyuridae.